AUUGAACGCUGGCGGCAUGCUUUACACAUGCAAGUCGAACGGUAACAGGGUGCUUGCACCGCUGACGAGUGGCGAACGGGUGAGUAAUGCGUCGGAACGUGCCGAGUAGUGGGGGAUAACGCAGCGAAAGUUGUGCUAAUACCGCAUACGUACUGAGGUAGAAAGUGGGGGACCUUCGGGCCUCACGCUAUUCGAGCGGCCGACGUCUGAUUAGCUAGUAGGUGAGGUAAAGGCUCACCUAGGCGACGAUCAGUAGCGGGUCUGAGAGGAUGAUCCGCCACACUGGGACUGAGACACGGCCCAGACUACUACGGGAGUCAGCAGUGGGGAAUUUUGGACAAUGGGCGAAAGCCUGAUCCAGCCAUGCCGCGUGUCUGAAGAAGGCCUUCGGGUUGUAAAGGACUUUUGUCAGGGAGGAAAUCCCUAGUGCUAAUAACACUGGGGGAUGACAGUACCUGAAGAAUAAGCACCGGCUAACUACGUGCCAGCCGCCGCAGUAA
RNAcentral lists this ribosomal RNA (500 nucleotides) under uncultured bacterium. RNAcentral's name for it is "partial 16S ribosomal RNA". It matches the Rfam family "Bacterial small subunit ribosomal RNA", at positions 30 to 523 of the family's 1533-position model. The record is from RNAcentral.